RNAcentral lists this ribosomal RNA (120 nucleotides) under Aspergillus niger. Lineage: Eukaryota; Fungi; Ascomycota; Eurotiomycetes; Eurotiales; Aspergillaceae. The record is from RNAcentral.
ACAUACGACCAUAGGGUGUGGAAAACAGGGCUUCCCGUCCGCUCAGCCGUACUUAAGCCACACGCCGGGAGGUUAGUAGUUGGGUGGGUGACCACCAGCGAAUCCCUUCUGUUGUAGGUU